This is a long non-coding RNA of Neltuma alba, 730 nucleotides long. RefSeq lists it as uncharacterized. Lineage: Eukaryota; Viridiplantae; Streptophyta; Magnoliopsida; Fabales; Fabaceae. The transcript has 2 exons. The record is from RefSeq and is a predicted model, not a curated record.
UGAUAUCAGGAGAGAAAGGAGCAGAGAGAGGGGAGAGGCUUCCAGACUGUCAAACUUGAAACCUCAUCUCGUCACCCGUGCUGCCGUCUUCGGUGCGCGUUGUCGUCAUCCGUCUGUUCGCCCGCCGUCCUUCCCCUUCUCUCAUGAAUUCGAGUUGCUGCUGCUUUUCUCACCUUGUUUGGCCUGGCCGUUCCCUUGGUUUGCUUGGUCGACGCCUUCAGCAGAUGCAAGGAGGAGAGUUGCUCAUUUUGUUUCCUUCUUUCUGGCUGUGAUUGUGGUGUGCGAUUGAAGCUGGGGGUGUGCCGAACGUGCAAGCCCUUUCUUCCUCCUUUGUUGUUGCUGAAUGUUGUGUGGGUGUGGAUAGUGCAGUUGAUCUUGUUACUUUUGAUCAUCACUAAAGAUCCUUACCGCUGGCUUGUAGUUGAAGUGUCGCUUGAAAGGUUCUGAAUUUAAUGUAAAACCUUAAUUCUUGUACAUAUUUGUGAAUCUUGUUUUAGGUGCUUAUUGUGGUCUAUAGGGAGAUGUCUAUCCUCUUUUAUCAUUUUGAAUGGAUGGAUAUAUCUAUGUAUUGUUGUAGAGUGGGGCUCCGUAUAUAUUGUGCUAUACUUGCAGGCUAUUUGUAGAAUUUUUGGGGUGUUUGACUAGGAGAUUCUGCUGAGACUUCUAUUAACGACUUUGCAUUUUAACUAUAAGAAAUCUGAUCUUACCUGAUUUAAAAUUUAUACAUGCA